This 445-nucleotide ribosomal RNA is filed under the name uncultured bacterium. RNAcentral describes it as "partial 16S ribosomal RNA". It matches the Rfam family "Bacterial small subunit ribosomal RNA", at positions 354 to 796 of the family's 1533-position model. The record is from RNAcentral.
GUGAGGAAUAUUGGUCAAUGGACGCGAGUCUGAACCAGCCAAGUAGCGUGAAGGAUGACUGCCCUAUGGGUUGUAAACUUCUUUUAUAAGGGAAUAAAGUGAGGGACGUGUCCCUUUUUGUAUGUACCUUAUGAAUAAGGAUCGGCUAACUCCGUGCCAGCAGCCGCGGUAAUACGGAGGAUCCAAGCGUUAUCCGGAUUUAUUGGGUUUAAAGGGAGCGUAGGUUGACAUAUAAGUCAGCUGUGAAAGUUUACGGCUCAACCGUGAAAUUGCAGUUGAUACUGUAUGUCUUGAGUGUACAAGAGGUGGGCGAAAUUCGUGGUGUAGCGGUGAAAUGCUUAGAUAUCACGAAGAACUCCAAUUGCGAAGGCAGCUCACUGGGGUACAACUGACACUGAGGCUCGAAAGUGUGGGUAUCAAACAGGAUUAGAUACCCGAGUAGUCC